This 73-nucleotide transfer RNA is filed under the name Camelus bactrianus (Bactrian camel). It matches the Rfam family "tRNA". From Rfam's summary of the family: Transfer RNA (tRNA) molecules are approximately 80 nucleotides in length. Their secondary structure includes four short double-helical elements and three loops (D, anti-codon, and T loops). RNAcentral also lists the same sequence under 1 other name. The record is from Rfam by way of RNAcentral. Lineage: Eukaryota; Metazoa; Chordata; Mammalia; Artiodactyla; Camelidae.
GAGGGUAUAGCUCAGUGGUAAGAGUACGUGCUUAGCAUUCACGAGGUCCUGGGUUCAAUCCCUAAUACCUCCA